CCCUUCAUUGAAGAGAUUCUGAUCACGGCCGCCCAUGUCACUUUCUACGAGUUUAAUAUCGAAAGCAACCAGUGGAGUAGAAAGGACGUUGAAGGAUCUCUAUUUGUCGUUAAGAGGAAUACUCAGCCCCGGUUUCAGUUCAUUGUAAUGAAUCGGCGAAAUACAGAAAACCUUGUGGAGAAUCUAUUGGGAGAUUUUGAGUAUGAAGUUCAAGUGCCAUAUUUAUUGUAUCGAAAUGCAGCCCAAGAAGUAAAGAGAUUGGCAACUUCCUCACACUCA
This 279-nucleotide unclassified non-coding RNA is filed under the name Hevea brasiliensis (rubber tree). The record is from RNAcentral. Lineage: Eukaryota; Viridiplantae; Streptophyta; Magnoliopsida; Malpighiales; Euphorbiaceae.